UAGAAGAAAACGACGAUGAAGGCCUGGGGUUGGGAGCAGGAAUAUAAUCUGAAAUAAAAGAGGAAAACAAACCUUACAUUUAUCGCAGUGAUUGUCUCUGACAUUUGCAGUGACUGACUGACAAUGACCUUGCCUGAGACGAGAGCCUACGAAAAUUAGAAAAUUCCAUUUAGAGCAUUCACCUGAAGAUAAUGUAUGUCAAACAUGUAGCUUCUAUGCUCCAGUGUACAAUUAUUGCAACAUAUCAACCAUUUGAUCUGAUUUUGCUGAGAUCAAAACUUUGAUGAGGUUGAACUUAAGCUUACAACAUAUUGCUGUAAGGAGUGCUGAUAUGCAGAUGACUGAGGUGAAUAUGAUUAAAUACAUAUGCAACUGGAACCAAUGCCGCUUCUGGGAGCAGGUGGGCAUAUCAGGAGCUGUGCCACAUAGACCUUGAUUGCCUAAUAAUGACAUAUUUGUUACUGAAUCAAAGAUGCCUCCUGAGGGAAUCCUGCCUUCAAGCUGGUUGAAAGAAAGAUUGAUGAAGGUAAGAGUAUGCAUUUUGCUCAGGCUUGUUGGGAUCAAACCAGACAAGUAGUUUCCUGAAACAUCGAGUGAUUCAAGGUUUUUUAGAUCACCUAGAGAAUCUGGAAGGUGCCCUGCAAUAGAAUUGUGCGAUAGAUUUAACAACCUCAAUGCAAUGCAGCUUGAUAUCUGAGAGAAGAUAUUUCCAGUGAAUUUGUUCGAUGAAAGGUCUAUCUCCUGAACAUUUUCCAGUUUGCUAAACUCAAUUGGCAAUGGACCUUCAAAAUGAUUAUGUGACAGGUUUAAAAAUAUUCUGAUUGCACGAAUACCUGAAAGUUCUGAAGGAACACUCCCAUUCAACUUGUUGUAGGAUAAGUCUAACUUGUAUAGAUCUAUGCACUGUCCUAAACUUCGGGGUAUUGAUUGUGAAAGCAAAUUGUUGUUAAGAAACAAAUAAUUCAACCGAAUUAAAUUUCCAAGACUCUCUGGAAUAGGACCACAAAAAUUAUUGUAUGAUAGAUCAAGCAAGCCCAGAUGAAGGAGUUGACCUAAUGCUGCUGGAAUUUCACUGGAGAAUAAGUUGUGUGAUAAGAAAAGCUGCUCCAAUUUCGACAACCUACUAAUAUUUGAUGAUAUCAUUCCAUUCAGAUGAUUUGAAGUCAAAUUUAGUGUCAUAAGGUUGGAAAUAUUUGCUAUACUCAGGGGAAUUGGUCCAGUGAUUUGGUUUUCUUGCAGUAACAUUUUUGUUAUAUUCAGUUGACUGAUUGAAGUAGGCAAUUUUCCUCCAAGACCCAUGCCAACCAACUGAAGCUCAACCAACUUCGUGCAGUUUUCCAGGGCAGUGAAGAAGGGGUUAAGAUUGCUGUUGUUGUCAUGACUUAUCAUGUAAUUAUAUGAUAAUUGGAGAAAUUUAAGUGAAGGUAACUUCCCCAAGAUAUCCGAAGGUAACUCACCAGAAAGAUUAUUGGUCCCCACAUCCAAAUUAUACAUUGAAGUAUUUACCAAAGAUGUAGGAAGCUGUCCCACAAACUGAUUGUUGUAUAAAUUAAGGGACCAUAGAUAUGGACUAUUUCCUACUUCUUGUGGAAUCUUUCCUGUAAAAAAGUUGUGGGAAAGGUCUAAAUUUCUCAGUGAAGUGCAGUUGUGGAAGAAGGAAGGUGGAAGUGCUUUUGAUAAAUUGUUUCCAGAAAGAGUUAACAAAUGGAGUUUAGAAAGAAGAGCAAAGGACUCUGGUAUUGGACCUUGUAAAUUGUUCUCAUCUAGCUGUAAAUAAAGGAGGUGUCUAAGGUGCGAAAAUUCAGGUGGAAUGGCUCCAGAAAAGUGAUUGUUAUAGAGCUCUAGGACAUGAAGGCCAGUAAGAUUUGAGAGAAAGGGAGAGAGGGUUCCAGUCAAUCCACAAUUUGGUAGAAAAAGUUGAGACACACGGUGAUGGUGUUUGCCACAUCUAACACCGCUGAAGCUACAUACAUCAACAUCCUCCCCCCAGUGAGCUAACGUACAAUUUGGAUCAAACUUUAUGGUGCUUUUGAACAACAGAAGGACAGCCUUGUCCGUAACCAAAGAGUGGAAAAAAAAAGUGUCUAUUGUCAAAAUGUACACUACAGACAAGUUUGAUUGGUAAAGAGUCAAUGGUAUUUGUGACAGCAUAAGGCUUGAAGACUUCCAUGAAUGGUUGGAAAGGUGAAGAAUCAAAAAUGGGGUGGCAGGUCCGAUCAUGCAUAUUCGUGCAUUGUCCUAGAGAUUGAGAUACUGAGCUUGAAAGCUUAAUGUUGUUAAGAAAGGGCUCUGAGCCUGCCGUCGUAGACUUUCCAGGAUUUGAAUCACUGAAAUUAUUGUAAGACAGAUCAAGCUGUUCCAGCUGAGGGAGUUUGACCUAAUGCUCCAGGAAUUUUUACAAGGGCAAUGUAAAACGGCUGGAGAUUCAUAUUCUUAUGGACAAUGAGAUAUUGCACUGAAGGCACAGCUUCUCGGGAAGGAAACUCAUCAUAAAGAAGGUGUGUGACAGCCUUGAAGUAGCAGAUAUCAACAGACUUCUCCCAGUUACAAAGGUACUUUUGAAUGCCAUAAGAGCUGCCUUAUCUGUAAGUAAAGAGAGGUGGUUUACAUUGCAUAACGUAGUUGCAUGACAUAGUUGCAUGGCCUGCACUUCAAUUAAAAAGUUAGUGUCACCCCAUACGUUUAGAAAGUGGUAAAUACACCCAGUUCUUUUAGAACUGUUGGUAAAAUUUAAUGGUAAAUUGUUAAAAAUUAGUCAUCUAUCAACCGUCACAUUUAGCUUCAUCAACGGUCAUUUAACACAUCACAUUCAUCACUCAUCAUCAACAACUCAUUAUCAAUAAAAAUAAACAAGUACAUAACUCAUGGUCGGCCAUGUUGUUUCAAUUGGUCGCAGCCGCCCACGAUGUCGAUCCACCCAUCACCACUACCUCCAGUCUUCUUUCUCUCU
Mangifera indica (mango) is the source of this 2950-nucleotide long non-coding RNA. RefSeq lists it as uncharacterized. The record is from RefSeq and is a predicted model, not a curated record. Lineage: Eukaryota; Viridiplantae; Streptophyta; Magnoliopsida; Sapindales; Anacardiaceae. The transcript is spliced from 6 exons.